RNAcentral lists this ribosomal RNA (433 nucleotides) under uncultured bacterium. Its description in RNAcentral is "partial 16S ribosomal RNA". It matches the Rfam family "Bacterial small subunit ribosomal RNA", at positions 29 to 507 of the family's 1533-position model. The record is from RNAcentral.
AACGAACGCUGGCGGCAGGCCUAACACAUGCAAGUCGAGCGCACCCUUCGGGGUGAGCGGCGGACGGGUGAGUAACGCGUGGGAACGUGCCCUUCUCUGCGGAAUAGCCUCGGGAAACUGAGAGUAAUACCGCAUACGCCCUUUGGGGGAAAGAUUUAUCGGAGAAGGAUCGGCCCGCGUUGGAUUAGGUAGUUGGUGGGGUAAUGGCCCACCAAGCCGACGAUCCAUAGCUGGUUUGAGAGGAUGAUCAGCCACACUGGGACUGAGACACGGCCCAGACUACUACGGGAGGCAGCAGUGGGGAAUCUUAGACAAUGGGGGCAACCCUGAUCUAGCCAUGCCGCGUGAGUGAUGAAGGCCUUAGGGUUGUAAAGCUCUUUCAGCUGGGAAGAUAAUGACGGUACCAGCAGAAGAAGCCCCGGCUAACUCCGUG